GACUUGCUCCCGGAUGUUAGCGGCGGACGGGUGAGUAACACGUGGGUAACCUGCCUGUAAGACUGGGAUAACUCCGGGAAACCGGAGCUAAUACCGGAUAGUUCCUUGAACCGCAUGGUUCAAGGAUGAAAGACGGUUUCGGCUGUCACUUACAGAUGGACCCGCGGCGCAUUAGCUAGUUGGUGGGGUAAUGGCUCACCAAGGCGACGAUGCGUAGCCGACCUGAGAGGGUGAUCGGCCACACUGGGACUGAGACACGGCCCAGACUCCUACGGGAGGCAGCAGUAGGGAAUCUUCCGCAAUGGACGAAAGUCUGACGGAGCAACGCCGCGUGAGUGAUGAAGGUUUUCGGAUCGUAAAGCUCUGUUGUUAGGGAAGAACAAGUGCGAGAGUAACUGCUCGCACCUUGACGGUACCUAACCAGAAAGCCACGGCUAACUACGUGCCAGCAGCCGCGGUAAUACGUAGGUGGCAAGCGUUGUCCGGAAUUAUUGGGCGUAAAGGGCUCGCAGGCGGUUUCUUAAGUCUGAUGUGAAAGCCCCCGGCUCAACCGGGGAGGGUCAUUGGAAACUGGGAAACUUGAGUGCAGAAGAGGAGAGUGGAAUUCCACGUGUAGCGGUGAAAUGCGUAGAGAUGUGGAGGAACACCAGUGGCGAAGGCGACUCUCUGGUCUGUAACUGACGCUGAGGAGCGAAAGCGUGGGGAGCGAACAGGA
This 715-nucleotide ribosomal RNA is filed under the name Bacillus zhangzhouensis. RNAcentral describes it as "bacterial SSU rRNA". It matches the Rfam family "Bacterial small subunit ribosomal RNA", at positions 77 to 777 of the family's 1533-position model. Lineage: Bacteria; Bacillati; Bacillota; Bacilli; Caryophanales; Bacillaceae. The record is from RNAcentral.